This 59-nucleotide transfer RNA is filed under the name Metacrangonyx dhofarensis. Its description in RNAcentral is "tRNA-Gln". The record is from RNAcentral. Lineage: Eukaryota; Metazoa; Arthropoda; Malacostraca; Amphipoda; Metacrangonyctidae.
UUUACUUUAGUGUAUAGAGCACAUAAAAUUUUGAUUUUUAAAGAGAAUUUCAAGUAACU